RNAcentral lists this ribosomal RNA (420 nucleotides) under uncultured bacterium. RNAcentral describes it as "bacterial SSU rRNA". It matches the Rfam family "Bacterial small subunit ribosomal RNA", at positions 356 to 773 of the family's 1533-position model. The record is from RNAcentral.
GAGGAAUAUUGGACAAUGGAUGGAAAUCUGAUCCAGCCAUGCCGCGUGCAGGAAGACGGCCCUAUGGGUUGUAAACUGCUUUUGUAUGGGAGCAAUAAGGGCUACGUGUAGUCCGAUGAGAGUACCAUACGAAUAAGCACCGGCUAACUCCGUGCCAGCAGCCGCGGUAAUACGGAGGGUGCAAGCGUUAUCCGGAUUUAUUGGGUUUAAAGGGUGCGUAGGCGGUUUGAUAAGUCAGCGGUGAAAUAUUUCAGCUUAACUGGAAGGGUGCCGUUGAUACUGUCGAGCUUGAAUUUAGUUGCUGUGGGUGGAAUGUGUGGUGUAGCGGUGAAAUGCAUAGAUAUCACACAGAAUAUCGAUUGCGAAGGCAGCUCACAAAGCUAAGAUUGACGCUGAUGCACGAAAGUGUGGGGAUCAAAC